Stegostoma tigrinum is the source of this 1060-nucleotide long non-coding RNA. RefSeq lists it as uncharacterized. The record is from RefSeq and is a predicted model, not a curated record. NCBI's taxonomy places the organism in Eukaryota, Metazoa, Chordata, Chondrichthyes, Orectolobiformes, Stegostomatidae. The transcript is spliced from 3 exons.
AGCUGAAGACAGUGGUGCAGAAAAGGAUGUAGUGCUUGUGGUAGAGAGGCAGCACAGUGGAGCAGUGUGGGAAACCCCGCAAGCAGUUCCAGCCCAUGAUGGGCAGGCCGCCCAGGAACAUGGACAGGAGCCAGCAGCCGCUGAUGAGCAGGAAGACACGCGAGCUGCCUCCCGAGCUGUGCGGCUUCAUCUUCAGCAUGGUCAGGUAGCGCUCGAUAGCGAUGGCCAGCAGGCUGAGCACCGAGGCAGCCAAGGCCACAAACAUACUGCCUUCCCUCAGGAACCACUGCACCGGGGUCAGUCUGUAGGUGUUAGAGCCUGACAACAGGAUGUUGACAGUGUAGGCGGCGCCGGCCAGCAGGUCCGACAGUGCCAGGUUGCCAAUGAAGUAGUACAUGGCCCGGUGGAACUUUUUGGUCUGCCAGAUGGCCAACAGCACCAUGAGGUUCUCCAGGAUGAUGAAGCAGCAGAUGACAAUGAAGAAUAUGGACGAGACGGUGAGUCCAGCCGCCAGGCCAUCGGAGCUGACCCUCAGCUUGCCGGUGUAGUUGUAAUGCUGCAGGAUGAUGUCCGGGUCCGUGUAGCUGUAGCCAGUGUACGCCGCGUGGCGCUGCCUGCCCGUCUCCAUCCUAAUUCACUUCGUUGUUGUUGUUGUUGUUGAAGCAGCUGGCGCGCCCCUGUUGGCCGGCAGAUGGCGCCGCGAUUGGCGGGUCAGUGAGGAGCUGCGGGACGACCAUGGGCCAUCGCCACUUCAGCCUGGAAAACAACAACAACCCGCGAGUUUACAAAACCAUCCCAAACGUAAUGUCUUCAAGAUGCAAAAGGCAAUCCUCCGAAUUUCACUGAAUUGCACAGAUUGUGGAUCAUAAUCUGAUACUACCAAGUCCAAAUCCUAUGUGGUUCAAUGGCAUCUUGAUUUGGCUUAUCUGUUGGAACCAUCUCAAAAUCACCCAGCUUGGAUGCACAGUAUACAGAUAGGUCCUGGUGGAGUGAAAGGGAUGAACAGGGGCCAGCAGCAGUUCACAUCCUGCUUUGGAGAAAGGAGAAGUGCCCUUCCUCC